UUAACACUUGAGAGUUUGAUCCUGGCUCAGAUUGAACGCUGGCGGCAUGCCUUACACAUGCAAGUCGAACGGUAACAGGUCUUCGGAUGCUGACGAGUGGCGAACGGGUGAGUAAUACAUCGGAACGUGCCCGAGAGUGGGGGAUAACGGAGCGAAAGCUUUGCUAAUACCGCAUACGAUCUCAGGAUGAAAGCAGGGGACCGCGAGGCCUUGCGCUCACGGAGCGGCCGAUGGCAGAUUAGGUAGUUGGUGGGAUAAAAGCUUACCAAGCCGACGAUCUGUAGCUGGUCUGAGAGGACGACCAGCCACACUGGGACUGAGACACGGCCCAGACUCCUACGGGAGGCAGCAGUGGGGAAUUUUGGACAAUGGGCGCAAGCCUGAUCCAGCCAUGCCGCGUGCAGGAUGAAGGCCUUCGGGUUGUAAACUGCUUUUGUACGGAACGAAAAGACUCCUUCUAAUAAAGGGGGUCCAUGACGGUACCGUAAGAAUAAGCACCGGCUAACUACGUGCCAGCAGCCGCGGUAAUACGUAGGGUGCAAGCGUUAAUCGGAUUUACUGGGCGUAAAGCGUGCGUAGGCGGCUUUUUAAGUCGGAUGUGAAAUCCCUGAGCUUAACUUAGGAAUUGCAUUCGAUACUGGGAAGCUAGAGUAUGGGAGAGGAUGGUAGAAUUCCAGGUGUAGCGGUGAAAUGCGUAGAGAUCUGGAGGAAUACCGAUGGCGAAGGCAGCCAUCUGGCCUAAUACUGACGCUGAGGUACGAAAGCAUGGGGAGCAAACAGGAUUAGAUACCCUGGUAGUCCAUGCCGUAAACGAUGUCUACUAGCCGUUGGGGCCUUUGAGGCUUUAGUGGCGCAGCUAACGCGAUAAGUAGACCGCCUGGGGAGUACGGUCGCAAGACUAAAACUCAAAUGAAUUGACGGGGGCCCGCACAAGCGGUGGAGUAUGUGGUUUAAUUCGACGCAACGCGAAAAACCUUACCUACCCUUGACAUGCCAGGAACUUACCAGAGAUGGUUUGGUGCUCGAAAGAGAGCCUGGACACAGGUGCUGCAUGGCUGUCGUCAGCUCGUGUCGUGAGAUGUUGGGUUAAGUCCCGCAACGAGCGCAACCCUUGUCCUUAGUUACCAGCACGUAAUGGUGGGCACUCUAAGGAGACUGCCGGUGACAAACCGGAGGAAGGUGGGGAUGACGUCAAGUCAUCAUGGCCCUUACGGCCUGGGCUACACACGUGCUACAAUGGUCGGUACAGAGGGUUGCCAAGCCGCGAGGUGGAGCUAAUCCCAGAAAACCGAUCGUAGUCCGGAUCGCAGUCUGCAACUCGACUGCGUGAAGUCGGAAUCGCUAGUAAUCGCGAAUCAGAAUGUCGCGGUGAAUACGUUCCCGGGCCUUGUACACACCGCCCGUCACACCAUGGGAGUGGGUUGCACCAGAAGUAGCUAGUCUAACCUUCGGGAGGACGGUUACCACGGUGUGAUUCAUGACUGGGGUGAAGUCGUAACAAGGUAACC
Molecule: ribosomal RNA, 1508 nt
Filed under: uncultured bacterium
Lineage: Bacteria
Description: partial 16S ribosomal RNA
Rfam family: Bacterial small subunit ribosomal RNA
Source: RNAcentral